RNAcentral lists this ribosomal RNA (3762 nucleotides) under Triticum aestivum (bread wheat). Its description in RNAcentral is "partial small subunit ribosomal RNA". The record is from RNAcentral. Lineage: Eukaryota; Viridiplantae; Streptophyta; Magnoliopsida; Poales; Poaceae.
AUGGAGGCGACGGCGGUUAGCGUGGGCAAGGCCGUUCUCGACGGCGCGCUCGGCUACGCCAAGUCCAAGGCAGCCGAGGAAAUCGCCCUGCAGCUUGGCGUCGAGCGUGAUGUGGACUUCAUCAAGGACGAGCUGCAGAUGAUGCAGUCGUUUCUGAUGACGGCCGAUGAGGAGCAAAGCCAGAACAAGGUGCUCACCACAUGGGUGAAACAGGUGGGGAUACUGGCCUACAAAGUGGAGGAUAGCCUCAUGGAUUUUGGCCUUCACUCUGAGAAAAAACCAUUCUUAGGGUGCAUUCCCCGCAAUCCAAUGGAUCGACGCCGCAUCGCCAAGGAGGUGAAGGAGCUUAGGGCCAAGGUGGAGGACGUGAGCAACAGGAACCUGCGCUAUCGCCUCAUCAAGGAGAGCUCAGGCUCCAAGCCUACAGCGGCAGAGGAGCAGGCCAAAAUUGCCACUGAAGCAAUGUUUGGCAUGAACCAAGCAAGGCUUACUGCCUUGGACCGUGGAAAAUCAUCAGAGGUGAACCUCCAACAGCUGAUUACCAGCAACGAUGUGGACCUUAGGGUGAUCGCCGUGUGGGGCUGUAGUGGUGAUCUUGGGAAGACGUCUGCCAUCCAGGAGGUUUAUGAUGACCCGAAGGUAUUGGAAACGUUUGGAUUCUGUGCUUGGAUUAGGUUGAUGCAUCCUUUCAAUCCACAAGAGUUUCUCAGAAGCUUGGUAAGACAAUUUUAUGAAAAUUCACAUGAUGAUGCUGGAAAGGCGGAACAAGAAACAAGUGUCGGGGCUAAUGUUCUGGCCAAGAUGGAGAAGAUGGAUCAAAGUGAUUUAGUUCGGCUGUUUAAUGCGCAGCUGUGUAGCAAUAGCUACCUUGUUGUCAUUACCGACCUGUCCACAAUAGAAGAGUGGCAUUGCAUUAAGAAGUACUUUCCUGACAACAAGAGACAAAGUAGAAUCAUCGUUUCCACUCAGCAAGAUGAAAUUGCAUGCUUGUGCACAGAGAAACCGUAUCAGAUGUCCAAGUUCAGGCAGUUGUCAUAUGAUCAAAUUAUUUAUUUGUUCCACAAGAAGACUUCACCGGAACAGAUCAGUUUAAUAGACAACACCGAUAAAGCAAUGGUUGCUGCUGUGGAGAAGGAGAAACUGAAGGUUAUUCAUGCAUCAUGUUCUGCUGCUGAGCCCAUUUCUGACUCAAACAAAGUUACUACUAGUGAGAAACACACAGCAGUGCCCGCCGGUGAAAUACUGGAGGAAGAUCAAAAACCUAACAAUGCAGAUGGCGACAAAAUUUGCAACUCAACUGCUAGAAAGAAGUUCGAUCGCAGCAGGACACUGGCACUGGCUGAUGAAGUGCUAUGUGGGCGAGAAACUGAGAAAACUAAUGUCAUCAAUUUAGUUGGCCAACCAGAAAAGAAUCGAGGCUGUAAGGUGGUUUCUGUUUGGGGAAUGGGUGGUCUUGGAAAAACCACCCUCGUCCGGAGCAUCUACCGAAGCCAAGAGCUUGGUGUCUUGAAGCGUGCUUGGGCCACUGCAUUGCGUCCUUUUAACCCUGAGGUACUCCUUAGAGAUUUGGCUCUGCAGCUUCAGAAUACUAUUCAAGAAGAGCCUGCUAGUGCAACGGCAAUUGAAGCACGAAAGAAAAUGUUAGCCGGGAUGAAACUUGAAGAUUUGGAGGAGCAGGUAGCUGAUGUACUAAAAAUAGAAGAGUGCCUUGUUGUUCUUGAUGAUGUAUCGACCACUUUUGAAUGGGACUUGGUCAAACAUUGUUUGGGCAAUGCUAGAAGGAUCAUAGUCACCACAAGAAAAAAAGAUAUUGCCAAACAUUGUUCAAUAGAGGACAAGUACAUCUGCCAUCUUGAUGGUCUGAAAGAUGAUGCUGCACUUGACCUCUUCAUGAAGAAGGUAUUCAAGGACAAUUUUGAAGUAAAUUAUUUAGCCCCAGCUAUGAUGGAGCAAGCAAAGCUUAUCCUGCAGAAAUGUGCUGGACUGCCCCUUGCAAUAUCGACUAUCGGUGGAUUCCUUGCCACUAAGCCAAAAACUGCUAAUGAAUGGAGGAAGAUGAGUGAUGGCAUUAGCAUUGAAUUGGAGAUGAAUCCUGAACUUAGGACAAUAAGGACAGUUCUUAUGAGGAGCUACUAUGGUUUGCCAUACCAUCUCAAGUCUGCUUUCUUAUACCUAUCCAUAUUUCAAGAAGAUCAGAGAAUUAGGUGGGGUCGCUUGAUGAGGCGGUGGAUUGCAGAGGGUUACUCAAGGGAUAUGCAGGGCAUAACUGCAGCUGGACUCUGUCGGAGGUACUUUGAUGAGCUCUUGGAUAGGAGUAUGAUCCUGCCAGGGGAAGGGACAGACCAAUACAGUCAGAAAAUCAGUUCUUGCCUACUCCAUGAUAUGAUCCGUGAAAUAUGCAUCUCAAAGGCUAGGGAGGAAAACCUUUUUUUGACGCUGGAGGAAGGAUGUUGUUUGAGUGACACGCAGGGUGCAAUACGUCAUCUUGUCAUUGGCAGCAACUGGAAAAGGGAUAAAGAUGUGUUGGAGAGCAAGCUAGACUUGUCACACGUACGGUCAUUGACCGUGUUUGGAGAGUGGAGAUCGUUUUUCAUUUCCGACAAUAUGAGGUUUGUGCGAGUGCUCGACUUAGAAGACACACUGGGGUUUAGAAAUCAUCAUCUUGAUCAAAUCGGGCAGCUCCGUCACCUCAAGUACCUUUCUCUUCGAGGAUGUUGGAGCAUUUUAUGUCUGCCUAAUUCUUUCCGGAAUUUGAGGCACCUCGAAACACUGGAUGUUAGAGGUACACGCAUAUCUGAGUUGCCAACAAUAAUCACUGAGCUUCGGAAGCUACAACACCUUCAUGCAGAUGAUUAUGGGGAUCGUAUUGGUGUUAGGGGAGAGGAUGACAUAGUUCAUAAGUAUCACAAGUUUAGAGGUCAUCUUUUCUUGAGACCACAAGUUUUAGAUGCUGGUUUGAACAGGAAUGAUAUAUUCAAUCUAUACCGCUUCCAGCAGGAGGAGAACCUAUAUGGCAUUAUUCUUCCUAAAGGGAUUGGUAAAUUGAAGACCCUUCAUGCACUAGGUGCUGUUGAUGUUUCUUGGAGAAAUGGAAAUGCCAUUGUAAAAGAGUUCCGAGAGCUUACUGAGCUACGUAACCUUAAAGUGGGUGGUGUGAGCUGCAGAAACAUCAAUGAGUUAUGGUCUGCCAUUGCUGGCUAUAGUCAACUUAAAUCUCUGUCAGUUCAAAUAGGUGGCCCGGACAAGAGGAAUGCGUUAGAUGGCUGUUUGGGUGAGGGUUUGUUACCAUCAAACAGCCUUGAGAGCCUCCAUCUGUGGGGUAAGCUUGUCAAUGUAACAAAGUGGAUCAAUACGCUUCAGAAUCUCACCAAGUUGGUGCUAAGGCGGAGCAGAUUGGAGCAAGAUGACGCCAUACAAGCCCUUGGAUUUCUACCGAAUCUUGUAGUUCUACGACUGAGGAUGGAUUCGUUCGAUGGGACACAGCUCCAUGUCAAGAGCUCAUCUUUCCCGAGUCUCAUAGUGCUGGAGUUGCAAUGGUUAGACAACCUCCAGUCGGCGCUGUUUGAAAAAGACGCAAUGCCUAAGCUCGAGUUGCUACAAAUUGGUCAGUGCAAAAAUCUGAAUGGAUUCUCCGGGCUGCCAGCCCUCGGAAGCCUCAAGGAGAUUCGGUUGGGUAGUUAUGAUCUCAGUGAAACAUUGAAGGUAUCGGUGCAGAGUCGGGUAGCGGAGCAUAUAAAUCACGUCAGAGUGAAUAUUGUUUGA